RNAcentral lists this ribosomal RNA (497 nucleotides) under uncultured bacterium. RNAcentral describes it as "partial 16S ribosomal RNA". It matches the Rfam family "Bacterial small subunit ribosomal RNA", at positions 28 to 523 of the family's 1533-position model. The record is from RNAcentral.
GAUGAACGCUGGCGGCGUGCUUAACACAUGCAAGUCGAACGAAGCACUUUAUUUGAUUUCCUUCGGGACUGAUUAUUUUGUGACUGAGUGGCGGACGGGUGAGUAACGCGUGGGUAACCUGCCUUGUACAGGGGGAUAACAGUUGGAAACGGCUGCUAAUACCGCAUAAGCGCACAGCAUCGCAUGAUGCAGUGUGAAAAACUCCGGUGGUAUAAGAUGGACCCGCGUUGGAUUAGCUAGUUGGUGAGGUAACGGCCCACCAAGGCAACGAUCCAUGGCCGACCUGGGAGGGUGACCGGCCACAUUGGGACUGAGACACGGCCCAAACUCCUACGGGAGGCAGCAGUGGGGAAUAUUGCACAAUGGGCGAAAGCCUGAUGCAGCGACGCCGCGUGAGCGAAGAAGUAUUUCGGUAUGUAAAGCUCUAUCAGCAGGGAAGAUAAUGACGGUACCUGACUAAGAAGCACCGGCUAAAUACGUGCCAGCAGCCGCGGUAA